This 197-nucleotide ribosomal RNA is filed under the name uncultured bacterium. RNAcentral's name for it is "partial 16S ribosomal RNA". It matches the Rfam family "Bacterial small subunit ribosomal RNA", at positions 355 to 566 of the family's 1533-position model. The record is from RNAcentral.
UGGGGGAUAUUGCGCAAUGGGGGAAACCCUGACGCAGCAACGCCGCGUGAAGGAAGAAGGUCUUCGGAUUGUAAACUUUUUUGACGAGGGACGAAAAAAAUGACGGUACCUCGAAAACAAGCUCCGGCUAACUACGUGCCAGCAGCCGCGGUAAUACGUAGGGAGCGAGCGUUGUCCGGAAUUACUGGGUGUAAAGG